Callorhinus ursinus (northern fur seal) is the source of this 491-nucleotide non-coding RNA. The record is from RefSeq and is a predicted model, not a curated record. Lineage: Eukaryota; Metazoa; Chordata; Mammalia; Carnivora; Otariidae.
GGCCUUGGAAAACCAAGGCUGCUUAGUUGGGAGUGAGAUGAUCAUGAAAGUGGGGCUUCGACCCUACCUUCUGGCUCCAUGCAUCUGGGAAGCUCUACUUCUGAAGCGACAUCGCUAAUUUCUCUCAUAUCCAGCCCCUGGAAGAAAACAGCCACCCAAACUGAAGAGAUGGGUGCCAGCUGGAACCUCACCACAGGCCUCGCUUCCCUCGUACAACCUGCAAAGAGCCACAGUACCACAGCUGCCUUCCUGAAAACCUGCCUGGGGAAUAAGCCUUGGGCCUGCUCGGAUCCAGAACUAUGAGAAGGCACACGAGGGCCGUGGGAGGGAGGGCUCCCAGAAUGAGAGGGAGCACCAGCGCCCGCCUUCCUCUGUGUGCCGCGUACCUGGACUGGGGAGGGGAACCGGUGUGUGCCACUGUGAGUAAUAAAGACGGCCCUGCCAGGAGCCUCAUCCUGCUUGAGCGAGGCCCCUGGGUGCCGACGAGCCUG